RNA transcript from Brassica rapa (field mustard), 2372 nucleotides. It is a transcript of the gene named alpha-humulene/(-)-(E)-beta-caryophyllene synthase, with no coding region annotated. Lineage: Eukaryota; Viridiplantae; Streptophyta; Magnoliopsida; Brassicales; Brassicaceae. The record is from RefSeq and is a predicted model, not a curated record.
GUUUUGGUAAAGCAUUCUAAAAACACAAGUAAUUGCUAGCGUAAACAUGAGCAUGGAGAGUGAAGUCCACCGUCCGCUAGCUGAUUAUUCCGCAAACAUCUGGGAAGAUCUCUUAACUCAUUUCUCAAAAUCUGAGCUUGGAAGUACUGAUACGUCAAAAGAAAAGCAUAGGACUCUAAAGGAGGCUGUGAAGGAAUCGUUUAUGGCUUCAAAAGUGAAUCCCAUAGAGAACAUCAAGUUCAUCGACUCUCUAUCUCGCCUUGGUGUCUCCUAUCACUUUGAGAUAGACAUCAUAGAGCAGUUGGGAAAUUCAUUUGAUAGUCUUGAUUUUAAUCGGUUGAUACGGCAUGAUGAGUGCGAUUUGUAUACUGUUGGGUUGCUUUUCCAAGUUUUCAGGCAAUUCGGAUUCAAACUUUCUGCUGAUGUGUUUGAGAAGUUCAAGAGCGAGGAUGGGAAGUUUAAAGAACACUUAGUGGCAGAUACAAGCGGUAUAUUAAGCUUGUAUGAAGCUUCACAAUGGAACACUCAUGGAGAAGAUAUCAUCGACCAAGCUCUUGCUUUUUCAAGCUGUCACUUAAAAGAGAUUUCUUUUCAAUCUAUCCCCCAGCAUCUUGCAGUACGCAUCAAAAAUGCUCUAAAGCAUCCUUACCACAGAGGCAUCUCAAGGAUAGAAACGAGGAAAUAUAUAUCAUACUACGAGGCAGAAGAGAAGCGUGACGCAGUUUUACUUGAGUUUGCAAAGAUAGAUUUCAAUAUGCUCCAAAUAUUGCACCGCACAGAGCUUGCUUGCGUAACAAGGUGGUACGAAGAAAUGGAAAUUAAAUCUAAAGUAACAUACACAAGGCAUAGAGUAGCAGAGGCGUACUUGUGGUCAAUUGGGGCAUAUUUCGAGCCUCAAUAUUCUCAAGCACGAGUUAAAACAGCUGUUGCACUAAUCAUAUUCACAAUGCUUGAUGAUACGUAUGAUGCCUAUGGCACAAUGGAGGAACUUGAGAUUUUCUCAGAUGCAAUAGAAAAGUGGCUUCCCGCUCCGCCUAACAUGAUACCUGAGAGCAUGAAGUACGUGUACCGUAUCAUGGUAGAUUUCUAUGAAAAACUUGAUGAGGAAUUUGAGAACGAAGGAAGGUCAGGUUGUGGCUUUCAUCUUAAGAAAUCAUUGAAGACAACGGCGAAUGGAUAUAUGCAAGAGGCAAAGUGGUUGAAAGAAGAGUACACUGCUACAUUUGACGAGUAUAAAGAGAAUGCGAUAGUGAGUUCCGGUUACUAUCCCUUGAUUGCAAUGACCUUCGCAGGAAUGGGAGAUGUCGCAAAUCUUGAUGCUUUUGAAUGGUUAAGCUCAAACCCUAAAAUUAGGGUAGCUUCAGAGAAAAUCAGUCGAUUCACAGAUGACAUUUCUAGCUACGAGCAACACAUUCACAGACUCAUAUUGACUCUGUAAACCAAAUCGGCAACUCUGCAUCCAUAUGAACGACGAAAGACGGUUGUUUCCUAGCACAACGUGCCAAGCUAUCCGCCCUUAGGUUCUCCGUUCGGGGUACAUGGACGACGUCUGAGUUGAUGAAGCUUCUUCAUAAAAGCUUGAUAUCUUCCAGGAAUAGAGAGGAUUCGCCGGAGAGAUCGUCGCGAGAGAAAGGGGAGAUCGCCGGAAGAAGAGAGAGAUCGCCGGAGGAAGAAGAGAGAAAUGGGGAAGAAGAAGUGUUUCGUGUCUAUAAAACCUAGGGUCCGACGGAAACUAUCCGUCGGAAUUUCCUCGGUAUUUUCAAUUUCAAUUUUCGCAAAAUAUUUGGCGGCUUGUUUGCCCGGUUAAAUGAAAAUAUUCCGAGAAAAUUCCGACGGCCACUUAAAUAUCCGUCGGAAUUUCCUCGGAAUAUUUUCAUUAAUUCGAGGAAAAAGAAUAUCCUGUGCAUGUAUUUCUAUUGGUUUAUAUUGUUCCUCGGAAUUUCUUCGGAAUAUUCCAAGGAAAUUCCGAGGAACACAUGUUUGGGGUUUCAAAACAUCAAAUUUUUUUGCCCUAUAUCAUUUUUUAUACAAAUGCAAUGCAUACCAUUGAAGAAUCUUUGUAUAGAUGAUCAUAAACCAUGAAAUAACAAAAUUUCAAAACGAAUUGUAAGUAUUCCCUUUACCGUUCAUUAAAGUGUAUAAGUGUUUCUCUUAUGUUGUGGGGAUUUCGUUCAUACAAUCGGAAAAGUGUUUAUUAUAGGGUAAGAAACAACUUUUUGACUUCAUAAUCAGUCUAAGACACUUAAUAAGGGUUAUAUAAGUGUUAUUCAAACCGCAAAACGUUGUUUUCGGUUUAAAAACCCUACUUCUUCGGAAAAGCCUCGGAAUAUUCCGAGGAAAUUCCGAGGAAAAACAAGUGUUCCUCGGAAUUU